Molecule: ribosomal RNA, 1066 nt
Filed under: Aeromicrobium sp. shui13-28
Lineage: Bacteria; Bacillati; Actinomycetota; Actinomycetes; Propionibacteriales; Nocardioidaceae
Description: bacterial SSU rRNA
Rfam family: Bacterial small subunit ribosomal RNA
Source: RNAcentral
UGGGGGGGGGUGCUUACCAUGCAAGUCGAGCGGUAAGGCCCUUUCGGGGGUACACGAGCGGCGAACGGGUGAGUAACACGUGAGCAACCUGCCCUUCUCUUUGGAAUAAGCGUUGGAAACGACGUCUAAUGCCGAAUAUGACCCCCUGUCGCAUGGUGGGGGGUGGAAAGCUCUGGCGGAGAAGGAUGGGCUCGCGGCCUAUCAGCUUGUUGGUGUGGGUAAUGGCCCACCAAGGCGACGACGGGUAGCCGGCCUGAGAGGGUGACCGGCCACACUGGGACUGAGACACGGCCCAGACUCCUACGGGAGGCAGCAGUGGGGAAUAUUGGACAAUGGGCGAAAGCCUGAUCCAGCAACGCCGCGUGAGGGAUGACGGCCUUCGGGUUGUAAACCUCUUUCAGCAGGGACGAAGCGAGAGUGACGGUACCUGCAGAAGAAGGACCGGCCAACUACGUGCCAGCAGCCGCGGUAAUACGUAGGGUCCGAGCGUUGUCCGGAAUUAUUGGGCGUAAAGGGCUCGUAGGCGGUUUGUCGCGUCGGGAGUGAAAACUCAGGGCUCAACCCUGAGCGUGCUUCCGAUACGGGCAGACUAGAGGUAUGCAGGGGAGAACGGAAUUCCUGGUGUAGCGGUGGAAUGCGCAGAUAUCAGGAGGAACACCGGUGGCGAAGGCGGUUCUCUGGGCAUUACCUGACGCUGAGGAGCGAAAGCAUGGGGAGCGAACAGGAUUAGAUACCCUGGUAGUCCAUGCCGUAAACGUUGGGCGCUAGGUGUGGGGACCUUCCACGGUUUCCGUGCCGCAGCUAACGCAUUAAGCGCCCCGCCUGGGGAGUACGGCCGCAAGGCUAAACUCAAAGGAAUUGACGGGGGCCCGCACAAGCGGCGGAGCAUGCUGAUUAAUUCGAUGCAACGCGAAGAACCUUACCUGGGUUUGACAUAUGCCGGGAAAGCUGCAGAGAUGUGGCCCCCCCUUGUGGUCGGUAUACAGGUUGGUUGCAUGGCUGUCGUCAGCUCGUGUCGUGAGAUGUUGGGUUUAGUCCCGCCAACGAAGCGCAACCCUUCGUUCUU